AGUGGCGAAGGGGUGAGUAAAGUAUCAGAACGUGCCCAGUCGUGGGGGAUAACGUAUCGAAAGUUACGCUAAUACCGCAUACCAUCUAUGGAUGAAAGCGGGGGAUCGCAAGACCUCGCGCGAUUGGGGCGGCCGAUAUCAGAUUAGGUAGUUGGUGGGGUAAAGGCUCACCAAGCCGACUAUCUGUAGCUGGUCUGACAGGACGACCAGCCACACUGGGACUGACACCCGGCCCACACUCCUACGGGAGGCAGCAGUGGGGAAUUUUGGACAAUGGGCGCAAGCCUGAUCCAGCCAUGCCGCGUGCAGGAUGAAGGCCUUCGGGUUGUAAACUGCUUUUGUACGGAACGAAAAGGUUUGGCCUAAUAAGCUGAGCUCAUGACGGUACCGUAAGAAUAAGCACCGGCUACCUACGUGCCAGCAGCCGCGGUAAUACGCAAGGUGCGAGCGUUAAUCGGAAUUACUGGGCGUAAAGCGUGCGCAGGCGGUUAUGUAAGACAGAUGUGAAAUCCCCGGGCUCAACCUGGGAACUGCAUUAGUGACUGCAUAUCUGGAGUACGGCAGAGGGGGGAUGGAAUUCCGCGUGUAGCAGUGAAAUGCGUAGAUAUACGGAGGAACACCGAUGGCGAAGGCAAUCCCUCUGGGCCUGUACUGACGCUCAUGCACGAAAGCGUGG
Molecule: ribosomal RNA, 676 nt
Filed under: uncultured Curvibacter sp.
Lineage: Bacteria; Pseudomonadati; Pseudomonadota; Betaproteobacteria; Burkholderiales; Comamonadaceae
Description: bacterial SSU rRNA
Rfam family: Bacterial small subunit ribosomal RNA
Source: RNAcentral